UACGGGGGGAGCAAGCGUUGUUCGGAUUUACUGGGCGUAAAGGGCGCGUAGGCGGCCACCGCAAGUCGACUGUGAAAUCUCCGGGCUUAACCCGGAAAGGUCAGCCGAUACUGCGGGGCUAGAGUGCAGAAGGGGCAACUGGAAUUCUCGGUGUAGCGGUGAAAUGCGUAGAUAUCGAGAGGUACACCUGCGGCGAAGGCGGGUUGCUGGGCUGACACUGACGCUGAGGCGCGAAAGCUAGGGGAGCGAACGGG
RNAcentral lists this ribosomal RNA (254 nucleotides) under uncultured bacterium. RNAcentral's name for it is "partial 16S ribosomal RNA". It matches the Rfam family "Bacterial small subunit ribosomal RNA", at positions 524 to 776 of the family's 1533-position model. The record is from RNAcentral.